CGAAAGCCUGACGGAGCAAUACCGCGUGAGGGAGGAAGGUUCUUGGAUUGUAAACCUCUUUUCUCAGGGAAGAAAAAAAUGACGGUACCUGAGGAAUAAGCAUCGGCUAACUCCGUGCCAGCAGCCGCGGUAAUACGGAGGAGGCAAGCGUUAUCCGGAAUUAUUGGGCGUAAAGCGUCCGCAGGUGGCGAUUCAAGUCUGCUGUCAAAGCACGGGGCUUAACUCCGUAAAGGCAGUGGAAACUGAAUAGCUAGAGUGCCGUAGGGGUAGAGGGAAUUCCCGGUGUAGCGGUGAAAUGCGUAGAGAUCGGGAAGAACAUCGGUGGCGAAAGCGCUCUACUGGACGGCAACUGACACUCAGGGACGAAAGCUAGGGGAGCG
Molecule: ribosomal RNA, 380 nt
Filed under: uncultured cyanobacterium
Lineage: Bacteria; Bacillati; Cyanobacteriota
Description: bacterial SSU rRNA
Rfam family: Bacterial small subunit ribosomal RNA
Source: RNAcentral